Molecule: long non-coding RNA, 457 nt
Filed under: Marmota monax (woodchuck)
Lineage: Eukaryota; Metazoa; Chordata; Mammalia; Rodentia; Sciuridae
Source: RNAcentral
GGGAGGUGAACGUGCAGCAGUUGCAGUUUAUUGGAGAAGUCAGAGGAGAGGAGUGGACAAUGUGAACCUGGCUCCCUUCCUGCACUCUGGGAGCCUGAGCCACAGCAGCGCCCCAGGUGAGGCUCUUCAGCAACCAGGAGGCCCCAGGACGCAUGGGCCAGGAGUGGACAUGGUGGAGUCCUCUUCCCAUCGCUGUCUCUACCCUGUUUUUCCCCUGGUAUACAGACCCUAUCCCCUUGCUACCUCUUAGCUAUUUCAACCCUUGUACCUUGUAUCAUGUGAUGUAUUCCAUUAACAAGAAGGCAAAUUGAAAAUAUUUUUUCCAGCAUUAAAAAGAAAAGAAGAGGGCUGGGGUUGUGGUUCAGUGGUAAGUGCGUGCCUCGAAUGCCUGAGGCACUGGGUUCGAUCCUCAGCACCAUAUUUAAAAAAAAAUAGAUAAAAUAAAGAUAUUGUGUCC